This is a long non-coding RNA of Peromyscus californicus insignis, 2130 nucleotides long. RefSeq lists it as uncharacterized. NCBI's taxonomy places the organism in Eukaryota, Metazoa, Chordata, Mammalia, Rodentia, Cricetidae. The transcript is spliced from 2 exons. The record is from RefSeq and is a predicted model, not a curated record.
UUUAGGUUAGGAGAGUAGAUGGCUAAUUGUGGCAGUUGAGGACCAGUUAACUGAGCUGUGGUACAUGCCACAGAGUCAGAGGAUGGGAGGAGCAACUUCAGGGGAAGGUGUAAGCUCCUCAAGGCUUGAAGUAGCCAGCUCCCCCUCCCCCCAGGACUUCCAAUGGCGGGGUUCCACCCAUGGAACACUCUAACUGCCCUAACGGCCAGCCCUUGCCCCUUCCCUAUAUAGUAAAAAGCCCAAGCUCUGGACUUGAAAUUCCACCAAUCUCCACCGUGGAAAUCUCCAUCCUGAAAAGCGCCCCCGCCCCCAACAACAUAUAAAGCUUGUCCUCUGCUCAGUUCUCUGAUGCUUCUUCCCCAAGCAGAGGUUGAUGGCACUCUGUCCUAGGUUCUGACUUUUUUGUUGUUUUAGUUUUUGUUUUUUGCCUGAACAUAAAAACAGGUUAUAAUUUAAAAGUCCAGCCGGGCGGCAGUGGUGCACACCUUUAAUCCCAGCACUCUGGAGGCAGAGGCAGGUGGAUCUCUGUGAGUUUGAGGCCAGCCUGGUCUCCAAAGUGAGUUCCAGGAAAGGUGCUAAGCUACACAGAGAAACCCUGUCUUGAAAAAACAAAAACAAACAAACAAAACAAAACAAAACAAAAAAAGUCCAGGGUUAUUUUAAACAGUAAAUUAUUUUCUCUGUAGAAAAUAGUAUAGAUAACAUUUCCCAAUAAGCCCUUAUAAGCCAAAUGAUAGCUGAAUUAUACAUAUAAAUAUUGAUUAGAUUCUGGGAUUCAGGAGACCUAUCUUCAUCUGUUCAGAGUGCUAUGUUUGGGCGGCAGUGGCACACACCCCAGCACUGGGGAGGCAGAGCCAGGUGGAUCUCUGUGAGUUCGAGGCCAGCCUGGUCUACAGCAUGAGAUCCAGGACAGGCACCAAAACUACACUGAGAAACUCAGUCUCAAAAAACAAACAACAAAAAAGAAAAAAAAAGAAAGAAAAAAGAAAGUGAACUACAUUUUACUUAAGUUGUGUGAGAUUUCUAUUCAUCUUCCCCUUCACUGUUUGAUUUACAGCAGACAUUUUUCUAUAGUCUAAUCCAUAAUUAUUGUUUUUUUCUUACAUGAGACAUGGUUUUACUCUGUAGCUCAGGCUGCCUUCAAAUUCACAAUCCUCCUACCUCAGUCUUCCAAGUUCUGAGGUAUGUACCAUUGUAUCUAGCAGCCUUCUCUUUCUUUCUUCCAUCCUUCUUUCUCUCUUUUUUGAAAAGAUUUAUUCUUUUAUUUUAUGUAUAUGAGUGCUUAUCUGCACGUAUGCCUUUAUGCCAGAAGAGGGCAUCAGAUCCCACUAGAGAUGGUUGCUGGGAAUUGAACUCAUGACCUCUGGAAGAACAGCCAGUGCUCUUAACUGAUGAGUCAUCUCUCCAGACCCUCUUUUAAAAACAAAAACAAAAAACAAACAAACAAACAAAAAAACAGGGUUUCACUGUUUAGUUUUGGGUGGCUUUGAACUUACAAAUGUGCACCUGCCUCCUGAGUGCUGGGAUUAAAGGUGUGCACCACUACUGCCUGGCCCACUGUGCUAUUUUUAUGAGACAGUCUUCAGAGGCUUGUUUGGGUAUAGUUUUUUGAAAAAAAAAUUUUCUAUGUUGGGGCACAAACCCAGGACCUUGGACAGACUAGGCAAACUACCAUUGAGCUAUGUUCUCAGCCUAGGAUUGUAAAAUGAACUACAUUCUCACUUCCAGUUGCAAAAAUGAGAUGAGAUGCCUCUGGUCUGUCAGAAGGUGGGUUGACCUAAGUGAAAGCUAGCCACCCAUCUCUCUUCUCACACAAUUUGCAUCUUCCAAGGACUGUGUGAGUUCACAGUUGGAGCAGGGUAAAGAACCCUGAGUGCUUGACAAGAUAGAUGUGUCUCUAGUCACAAGAGGGAGUGAAGGCUUGGUGAGUGGGAGCUGGAGGCAGGAGUAACACCAGGGUUAGCAUAGUGCUACGCAACUCUUCUGUUUAUUUUUUGUAGACAGUUUCUCUGUUUAACAACUCUGGCUGUCCUGGAACUCACUCUGUAGACCAGACUGGCCCUGAACUCACAGAGAUCUGCCUGUUUCUACCUCCAGAGUGCUGGAAUUAAAAGAGUGCACCACCAUUGC